GGGAGAUAGCUGGUUCUCCCCGAAAGCUAUUUAGGUAGCGCCUCGUGAAUUCAUCUCCGGGGGUAGAGCACUGUUUCGGCAAGGGGGUCAUCCCGACUUACCAACCCGAUGCAAACUGCGAAUACCGGAGAAUGUUAUCACGGGAGGCACACGGCGGGUGCUAACGUCCGUCGUGAAGAGGGAAACAACCCAGACCGCCAGCUAAGGUCCCAAAGUCAUGGUUAAGUGGGAAACGAUGUGGGAAGGCCCAGACAGCCAGGAUGUUGGCUUAGAAGCAGCCAUCAUUUAAAGAAAGCGUAAUAGCUCACUGGUCGAGUCGGCCUGCGCGGAAGAUGUAACGGGGCUAAACCAUGCACCGAAGCUGCGGCAGCGACGCUUAUGCGUUGUUGGGUAGGGGAGCGUUCUGUAAGCCUGCGAAGGUGUACUGUGAGGUAUGCUGGAGGUAUCAGAAGUGCGAAUGCUGACAUAAGUAACGAUAAAGCGGGUGAAAAGCCCGCUCGCCGGAAGACCAAGGGUUCCUGUCCAACGUUAAUCGGGGCAGGGUGAGUCGACCCCUAAGGCGAGGCCGAAAGGCGUAGUCGAUGGGAAACAGGUUAAUAUUCCUGUACUUGGUGUUACUGCGAAGGGGGGACGGAGAAGGCUAUGUUGGCCGGGCGACGGUUGUCCCGGUUUAAGCGUGUAGGCUGGUUUUCCAGGCAAAUCCGGAAAAUCAAGGCUGAGGCGUGAUGACGAGGCACUACGGUGCUGAAGCAACAAAUGCCCUGCUUCCAGGAAAAGCCUCUAAGCAUCAGGUAACAUCAAAUCGUACCCCAAACCGACACAGGUGGUCAGGUAGAGAAUACCAAGGCGCUUGAGAGAACUCGGGUGAAGGAACUAGGCAAAAUGGUGCCGUAACUUCGGGAGAAGGCACGCUGAUAUGUAGGUGAAGUCCCUUGCGGAUGGAGCUGAAAUCAGUCGAAGAUACCAGCUGGCUGCAACUGUUUAUUAAAAACACAGCACUGUGCAAACACGAAAGUGGACGUAUACGGUGUGACGCCUGCCCGGUGCCGGAAGGUUAAUUGAUGGGGUCAGCGCAAGCGAAGCUCUUGAUCGAAGCCCCGGUAAACGGCGGCCGUAACUAUAACGGUCCUAAGGUAGCGAAAUUCCUUGUCGGGUAAGUUCCGACCUGCACGAAUGGCGUAAUGAUGGCCAGGCUGUCUCCACCCGAGACUCAGUGAAAUUGAACUCGCUGUGAAGAUGCAGUGUACCCGCGGCAAGACGGAAAGACCCCGUGAACCUUUACUAUAGCUUGACACUGAACAUUGAGCCUUGAUGUGUAGGAUAGGUGGGAGGCUUGGAAGUGUGGACGCCAGUCUGCAUGGAGCCGACCUUGAAAUACCACCCUUUAAUGUUUGAUGUUCUAACGUUGACCCGUAAUCCGGGUUGCGGACAGUGUCUGGUGGGUAGUUUGACUGGGGCGGUCUCCUCCUAAAGAGUAACGGAGGAGCACGAAGGUUGGCUAAUCCUGGUCGGACAUCAGGAGGUUAGUGCAAUGGCAUAAGCCAGCUUGACUGCGAGCGUGACGGCGCGAGCAGGUGCGAAAGCAGGUCAUAGUGAUCCGGUGGUUCUGAAUGGAAGGGCCAUCGCUCAACGGAUAAAAGGUACUCCGGGGAUAACAGGCUGAUACCGCCCAAGAGUUCAUAUCGACGGCGGUGUUUGGCACCUCGAUGUCGGCUCAUCACAUCCUGGGGCUGAAGUAGGUCCCAAGGGUAUGGCUGUUCGCCAUUUAAAGUGGUACGCGAGCUGGGUUUAGAACGUCGUGAGACAGUUCGGUCCCUAUCUGCCGUGGGCGCUGGAGAACUGAGGGGGGCUGCUCCUAGUACGAGAGGACCGGAGUGGACGCAUCACUGGUGUUCGGGUUGUCAUGCCAAUGGCACUGCCCGGUAGCUAAAUGCGGAAGAGAUAAGUGCUGAAAGCAUCUAAGCACGAAACUUGCCCCGAGAUGAGUUCUCCCUGACCCUUUAAGGGUCCUGAAGGAACGUUGAAGACGACGACGUUGAUAGGCCGGGUGUGUAAGCGCAGCGAUGCGUUGAGCUAACCGGUACUAAUGAACCGUGAGGCUUAACCUU
This 2108-nucleotide ribosomal RNA is filed under the name Escherichia coli KTE35. RNAcentral's name for it is "bacterial LSU rRNA". It matches the Rfam family "Bacterial large subunit ribosomal RNA", at positions 840 to 2925 of the family's 2925-position model. The record is from RNAcentral. Lineage: Bacteria; Pseudomonadati; Pseudomonadota; Gammaproteobacteria; Enterobacterales; Enterobacteriaceae.